This is a long non-coding RNA of Carassius gibelio (silver crucian carp), 3450 nucleotides long. RefSeq lists it as uncharacterized. NCBI's taxonomy places the organism in Eukaryota, Metazoa, Chordata, Actinopteri, Cypriniformes, Cyprinidae. The transcript is spliced from 2 exons. The record is from RefSeq and is a predicted model, not a curated record.
CCACGCGAGAUGUCAAAACGAGAUGUUGUUGGCAAUAUGGCCGCUUGCAUUGAGAGACAACAGUGAGUUUGUUUCCCGAAAUAGUUUAAAUUGAAGUGUAUAAGACAUUUUCAUUAAGUGGUAUUGAUUUUCAAUCUAUUAAACUAAGGUAUAAAGUAAUCAAUAUAUAAGCAAAAGAUGUAAAGACGCUAUCCUCCUGUUUCACAGACAAGGUUAAUUAAACUGUGGCGUAAUCCAGGCUUAAUCUAAACCUGUUUUUAUACAGUCUAUGAUCUAAACCCAGACUGUUACUUACAUAAUACAGCAUAUUUGUGAUUUUGCUGUAAAAACGCGUUUUAUAAUGCAUAACUAACGGGAGCUCCACACUCCACUAACAGUACAAGACUCAAAAGUGGAUUUACAUAAACCAUAUAUACAUCUUGAAGACUAAUACUAAAUAACAUUUAUCAUCUGACAGGAUAAUGUUUGAUUAGUAUUGCAGAUGAGCACAUCUAACAGACAUGAAACAGGUGUCUGAGUGAUGUGUGUGUGUGUCAACACUGCUAUAGAUGAGUAUCUUUUGUUUUGGAGCAGGACCUGCAAGGAAAGGUGAAAAAAGGGAAAACCUGAAACAAAAGAAUAAUGUAAUGACUUUUUGUAUUGUGGGUGUGUGUGUAUUUUUGUAGGAUAUGAAAAUGUGUUGAUACUGGUGUGUGCACUGAGCAUGGAGAAGACCACAGCAUCAUCCUUGAAAUGGUCCAGAGACACAGAUGAGACGCUCCAGCUCUUACUGUCUCAUCAGGACCAGAUGCUGCUCUGGUGUCUUCAUCCUCAGUGACCCCAGAGCCAGUGAGAGCAUCAAGAGAAAGACCAAAAGACACUGAGGAUUUGAUUUUGGUAAAGUUUGUUCUGCUGGUUUUUGUUUAUAUAAUGAAGGCUGACUUUCAGAAGCUUCAAAACCAUCAUCAAAAAAUGUGAUGGAGCUUUUAUCCAAAGUGAUUGACAGUGCUCUUAUUACAGGGGCCUACAAUCACCUGAUCAACCUGGAGAAAAGAGCCUUGCUCAAGGACAUACUGGUGGUUUUGAGCCAGUUCAGUGUUUUAGCACACUACAAAAGUUAUAAAUCAAUGCGUGUACUUGUAAACUCUGUGUAAAUGUUUUCCAGGUAGUGGUGCUCAUGGAGAGCAGGCACACAGAUGUUUGGAGCAGACACAGCAGCAGUCAGAUUGUCCUGCAUUUGUUCUCCUGCUCUUGUUCAGGGCUGUGUGGUUCAGAGAGCCGUCAUCAUGGUCUUUUGUCAUGAUCCUGACUUCUUUCUCUUUCUCCCUCUCUUUAUCACACACUCACCCACUUUCCUAUUAUGCACACACUUUUCCCUUUGCUCUAUUAAUCUCCUUCAGCUGUUCCUAAUUUACUCUAGUCUUCGUGAUUAUUCCUUUUACACCUGUUCCCCCUUCUCCCUAAAUUAACUCUCCUAUUUAUUCCCCCCCCCCCAUUCUUCAACAGAUUAUUCCAAGAUCCUCACGAGCAUCAGACGUCUUUCUCUACAUUGGGAAGUCGUGGCCUAAUGGUUAGAGGGUUGGACUCCCAAUUGAAGGGUUGUGGGUUCUAGUCUCGGGCCGGACAGAAUUGUGGGUGGGGGUAGUGCAUGUACAGUUCUCUCUCCACCUUCAAGACCACGACUUAGGUGCCCUUGAGCAAGGCAUCGAACCCCCAACUGCUCCCCGGGCGCCGCAGCAUAAAUGGCUGCCCACUGCUCCGGGUGUGUGCUCACAGUGUGUGUGUGUGUGUGUUCACGGCUCUGUGUGUGUGCAUUUCGGAUGGGUUAAAUGCAGAGCACAAAUUCUGAGUAUGGGUCACCAUACUUGGCUGAAUGUCACUUCACUUCAUUCCCUAUGGUUGUUUAGUUGGGGAUUGCUGCUUAGCUGGAUUUUUCUGUAUUUAUCUCCUUGUUUUGCACGUUGCCCAGCUCGCCAGUCUCUCACGGCUGCCAGUGCCAGCACCCGUGUCCCAUACGGUUUUUCAAUAAUAUAUAAAUUCACAACUUAGCGAACUGUGAAGCUGAUUGAGACGUAACCUCUGCAUGACAGUGGACCUUAAGCAAGUAUAGGUCUCUGCAGGAAAGUAAUGGGGGUUACCAGAUCAGGGUGUUUUUAGACCAUGAUACUUGAUUCCCUGGCUUCAUAGUGACGUUAGGUUUAGGGGUGGGGUUAGGUAAGGGGGAUCAUUUUGAUUGCAUGAUUUAGAAACACCCACCAGUUUGAAACGCCCACUUUUGUCCUGCAGAGAACGAAGUCUCACCUUAAGGGCCAGAGCUGACAACCCCUGACAUACUGAUUAGUUAAUAAUCCCUCAUGAAGAAUGAGUACACUUUAAUUUGUACAUUUUGGACAACCAUUGUUUUUGUAUUAUUAUUAUUAUUUUUUUUACAUCUACAUUUUAGUUAUUGUUUUCUUUCUCACUUUAGAUGCUGGAGAAAAAACAGCGAGGCUGAAGUAUUCAAAGUGCAAACAUAUGCCGUGGCUCAUUAAUCCAGAAUUGGGACGGAGGAAGGAGCAGAAGAUCAGAGAUCUACUGGUUCCCCUGUGGGAACCCAUUUACCUAAUGUGUAGUUAAACCAAAGAUUUUCCUCACUCACCUUCAAGCCAGACUUUUGUUCAUCUUUGAAUCACAAACUCAGAACUUCUUAAUGAAAUCUGAGAAAUAAUUUAUUUAUUUAUAAAAUAACACAUUCACGAGAGCACCAUGAUGCGUCAGUGUUGCGUUGGUGUGAGAGCUGGCCAUCCCCAUUGAGGAAACAUAAUUUCUGAAUACAUUAUUUUUAAUGUUGUUGUUUUUUGUGUACACACGGCAUCUUGAAAUAAAAAAAUGAUAAUCUUAAUUUGUAUUCUGCACAAAAGGGUCUUAUGGGUUUGGAGCAGCAUUAGGGUAAGUAAUUAAUGACAUAAUUUACAUUUUUGGUUGUUGUAAUGUGGUUAUAAUUGCUCAUUGUUUCAAUUUUUUUAUAUCUUAAAGAUUUAUUGUCCUGAAAAAUUAUGUUUAUACAGAAAGACGGAUUCAUUUGAUGUUACAGUAAUGACCAAUAAAAAUCUAAAUAAAUGCUGCUCUUUUGCAAGGUAUGUUAAAAAAAUACUGAUACAUUUCAUGGUUUCCACAAAAUAUUGGGCAGCACAAUUGUUUCAAACAUAGAUAAUAAUCAAUAAAUAUUACUUGAGCUGCAAAUAUUAUUAGAAUGAUUUCUGAAGAUCACGUUACACUGAAGACUGGAAGAAUGAUGCUGGAAAUACAGUUUACAGGGAUAAAUUACAUUUUACAAUCCAUCCACAUAGAAAACAAUUAUUUCUGUAGUUAUAUUUCACAAUAUUACUUGGUCUGUUUAAUCGAAUGAGGCUUAAGAUGUGAUCAAGAAAGUAGCUUUUUUUAUGGUUUACAUGAAAGAUGUAUUUAAUGUCAAUAAAUGUGUCGAUAUAC